RNAcentral lists this microRNA precursor (74 nucleotides) under Myotis davidii. Its description in RNAcentral is "mir-9193 microRNA precursor family". It matches the Rfam family "mir-9193 microRNA precursor family". The record is from Rfam by way of RNAcentral. Lineage: Eukaryota; Metazoa; Chordata; Mammalia; Chiroptera; Vespertilionidae.
UCUGAGGGAGUGGGUUCCCUCAGCCCGGAUUGUGAGAAGGUGCAUGCCAUGCUGAGGGACCCCAACAGUGCACA